This 140-nucleotide ribosomal RNA is filed under the name Gambusia rhizophorae (mangrove gambusia). RNAcentral describes it as "partial 16S ribosomal RNA". Lineage: Eukaryota; Metazoa; Chordata; Actinopteri; Cyprinodontiformes; Poeciliidae. The record is from RNAcentral.
CUAGCUAUCUAUGAAGUGCUUUCUUCCAGUACGAAAGGAUCGAAGAAAAAAGGCCCAUGCUCAACAGCACGCCUUGCCCCUCCUUAUGAAAUCAACUUAAUUAGGCGAAAGGCACACCACCCCCGCCAAAGAUAACAGCU